GCUUACGGGCAUACCUCUUCUGGCUCCGCCUGAUCUCGUCUGAUCUCAGAAGCUAAACAGAGUAGGGCCCUGUGUAGUACCUUGAUGGAAGACCGCCUGGGAAUCUCAGGUGCCGUAAGCU
Gasterosteus aculeatus aculeatus (three-spined stickleback) is the source of this 121-nucleotide ribosomal RNA. The record is from Ensembl. NCBI's taxonomy places the organism in Eukaryota, Metazoa, Chordata, Actinopteri, Perciformes, Gasterosteidae.